CAGAGAAGCCUAAUACACAGAUUGGACAACAAUGGAGAUCUUUGGCACUGAGGAUGAUUUUACUACACAGAAUACUUCCACAGUGUCUCAAGAGGAGCAGACUUGGUGAUUCACACUCCCUCCUGCUGAUGAGUUGCGGAUGGAGAAAAAUAAGAACGAAGAUGCUCAUCAUUCAUUAAAAUAAAUUUUUAAACAGCCGUAUUAGAUUACUGAUUUGGCAUCACUCUGUAUAAUGUAAAACAUGUUUUACUGCAAAAUAAUUUAAACUGGCUCUCCAUUCAUAAACAUAAAAUAAUGUGGUCUUGAAUUCAAAUCUAUGCUAAUGACCUUUAUAGACUAAUGUUUUUAGUAAGUGUGAUGUGGUUUUUUUAAAACGUUUUUAGCUCCUGACUCCUAUGACUGCCUACUGUGAAUUACUUAUAACAAAGUGAUAUAUUUUUUAACUGUGUUGUUUUAAUUGACCUAUCUCCCAUCAGACCAUCAGCUAUUAUGGGAUAUUUGGCACAUUUUAAGUCAUUAUUGUUUCACAAAAUAAACCUUCUUGGAGCUUCUAAGGCUAUAACUACAUCCUGUACUGGGACAAAUUGUAUCUGUUUAUUGUAAUACUGACAGGGAAACCAUUUGAGGUUUUAAAUGCUAUUUGCAUCUUGUAUCUUUCAGGGAGGAGGUCAUGUUAUGAAAUGUAAAAUAUUUUUUCGGUAUGACAAAUAUUUUUUCACUGUCUUUACAUUUUUCCAAAGGAGAAAGUAGGCUACUGAUACUUUUGCUGGUGCAGAAAUACAUUUAAUGAUGAAAUUAAGUGACUUAGAGUUUAUUACAGACUUCUAUGGAACCCUACUCAAUUUUUAAUUCAAUUGGCAUUAAAGCUGCAAGCAGUAACUAGCUGCUUGCUUCCCGCACGUUGGGGCAUGCUGCAUCCAUGUCGCUGAUCGGUUGACACGGCUCUGAAUUUUUUUGCAUACUGGACUCUGCACCAAGGAGUUAAAUCCAGUUGUUGAUUUGGAUGUUCAUCCCCCAUGAACAUUCAGCACCUCCCAUUCUCCGUAGUUUGCGUGUUAUUCUCUCCCUCUGUGUAUUUGUUUAUUUCUACUCUCUGUGUGAAUGCUGUUGUCCUCGUGUGUGUUUGUGUGGCCUGUCCCCUCUUCAGCUCUCUGGUAGAGAGGAAGUGCCUGAGGUCGCUGAUGGGCAUAAUUACUUGAAUUACAGUCCAUUUGCAAUAAAAAUAAAUCUGUAAUCGGUUUCAUUAAAAUUUUAUUGGAAAUAAACAAA
This is a long non-coding RNA of Micropterus dolomieu (smallmouth bass), 1269 nucleotides long. RefSeq lists it as uncharacterized. NCBI's taxonomy places the organism in Eukaryota, Metazoa, Chordata, Actinopteri, Centrarchiformes, Centrarchidae. The record is from RefSeq and is a predicted model, not a curated record. The transcript has 2 exons.